Molecule: ribosomal RNA, 981 nt
Filed under: Photobacterium damselae
Lineage: Bacteria; Pseudomonadati; Pseudomonadota; Gammaproteobacteria; Vibrionales; Vibrionaceae
Description: bacterial LSU rRNA
Rfam family: Bacterial large subunit ribosomal RNA
Source: RNAcentral
CUAACUUGCGAUAAGCGUAGAUGAGGCAGUAAGAGCCACUUGAGUCUACGAUUUCCGAAUGGGGAAACCCAACUGCAUAAGCAGUUAUCUCAAUGUGAAUUCAUAGCAUUGUGAGGCGAACCGGGGGAACUGAAACAUCUAAGUACCCCGAGGAAGAGAAAUCAACCGAGAUUCCGGCAGUAGCGGCGAGCGAAACCGGAUUAGCCCUUAAGCUAAUCUUGCGUUAGGUGAACAUGCUGGAAAGCAUGGCAAUAAAGGGUGAUAGCCCCGUAACCAACAGCGCUUUAUCAGUGAAAUCGAGUAGGACGGGACACGUGUUAUCCUGUCUGAAUAUGGGGGGGACCAUCCUCCAAGGCUAAAUACUCCUGACUGACCGAUAGUGAACCAGUACCGUGAGGGAAAGGCGAAAAGUACCCCUGUGAGGGGAGUGAAAUAGAACCUGAAACCGUGUACGUACAAGCAGUAGGAGCAGGCUUGUCCUGUGACUGCGUACCUUUUGUAUAAUGGGUCAGCGACUUAAUUUUAGUAGCAAGGUUAACCAUCUAGGGGAGCCGUAGGGAAACCGAGUCUUAACUGGGCGUCAUAGUUGCUAGGAUUAGACCCGAAACCGAGUGAUCUAGCCAUGGGCAGGUUGAAGAUUGAGUAACAUCAAUUGGAGGACCGAACCGACUAAUGUUGAAAAAUUAGCGGAUGACUUGUGGCUAGGGGUGAAAGGCCAAUCAAACUCGGAGAUAGCUGGUUCUCCCCGAAAGCUAUUUAGGUAGCGCCUCGGACGAAUACUACUGGGGGUAGAGCACUGUUAAGGCUAGGGGGUCAUCCCGACUUACCAACCCUUUGCAAACUCCGAAUACCAGUAAGUACUAUCCGGGAGACACACGGCGGGUGCUAACGUCCGUCGUGAAGAGGGAAACAACCCAGACCGCCAGCUAAGGUCCCAAAGUUAUAGCUAAGUGGGAAACGAUGUGGGAAGGCUCAGACAGC